ACUUCAAAUACCACCCUGUAGUUUCUAAUUUCUCACUUUAGUAUUUAUGGUUUAAAAUGUACCAGUCCAGCAUUCUGUUAUUUUAUUUAUUUUCUUUUCGUCAGCCCUUCGUUAACUUUUCGUUAAAUUAUAUACAAAAAAUUUUAGAUACCCCACCUAUAGUUUAUCGAAUGUAUUCACUUUAGUUUCCUUUAGUUUUAAUUUUAUCACUGACUUAACAAAAAAAUUAGUAGAGCGGGUAACAAAAAUAGAAAAAUAAAAUAAAAUCACAGAGUACGAAAGUGAUACACUUUGAAUCAUAGGUUAUUAAAGUGAAAAAGUGCAAAAUCAUAGAAAUGGUAUUUGAAAUAUUUUUCUUUUUAAAUAUCUUUCACAAUUUGACAAUAAAAUAAAUUUUUAAAUACCUCUCAAAAUUUUCAAAACAU
RNAcentral lists this long non-coding RNA (425 nucleotides) under Ananas comosus (pineapple). RNAcentral describes it as "long non-coding RNA (ACOM_LNC024923)". Lineage: Eukaryota; Viridiplantae; Streptophyta; Magnoliopsida; Poales; Bromeliaceae. The record is from RNAcentral.